GCAGAUUCUGAACAACAACCCGUGGACUCGGGUUCAGAUCCACCUUCUGCUGAUGCAGAUGCAGAGAAUGUUCAAGAGGGUGAAUCAGCCCCACCAGCAAAUGAAGAGCCUCCUGCCACCUCUGGGAGUGAAGAGGAACAGCAGCAGCAGGAACCCACACAGGCAGAGAAUCAAGAGCCUCCUGCCACCUCUGGGAGUGAAGAGGAACAGCAGCAGCAGGAAUCCACACAGGCAGAGAAUCAAGAGCCUUCUGACUCUGCUGGGGAAGGACAGGAAACUCAACCUGAGGAAGGAAAUGUAGAGUCACCUCCCUCUUCUCCUGAAAACUCACAAGAACAACCACAGCAAACAAAUCCAGAGGAGAAACCGCCUGCUCCUAAGACUCAGGAUGAACCACAGCACGACAGCGGUCGUCCAAAGAAGCCCCUCCUUCCUUUUAUCGCUAAUUUAAUACCAGAAAGAAUUCGGAAAUUAUUAGCUCGCAGUCCAUUAGCCAGAAGAUUUUAGAGAGUACCUGAGAAGAUUAUGACCUUCAGAUGUGUAGGUCAACAAAUCACUGUUGAUUGUCUAUAAUAUUCCAAUAAAAAUUUUCAGCAUGC
RNAcentral lists this long non-coding RNA (599 nucleotides) under Rattus norvegicus (Norway rat). RNAcentral's name for it is "long non-coding RNA NONRATT020945". Lineage: Eukaryota; Metazoa; Chordata; Mammalia; Rodentia; Muridae. The record is from RNAcentral.